Molecule: unclassified non-coding RNA, 200 nt
Filed under: soil metagenome
Description: partial contains internal transcribed spacer 2 and large subunit ribosomal RNA
Source: RNAcentral
GCCCGGCUUGGCGUUGGGUCCCGUCGCGCGUCCGCCCCGACGGAUCCCAAAGAUAAUGGCAGAGCCCGCGUGGACCCUGGAUGCAGCGAGCUUUCUGGCACGCGUCGCAGCGGUCCUCCGGCUCGGUCUUGACCGUCACGGUUCCACCGUCACAUUCACUGGUUGACCUCGGAUCAGGUAGGGAUACCCGCUGAACUUAA